UGAGGCUUUUCCAUUAGUUCUU
Molecule: unclassified non-coding RNA, 22 nt
Filed under: Dictyostelium discoideum
Lineage: Eukaryota; Evosea; Eumycetozoa; Dictyosteliales; Dictyosteliaceae
Source: RNAcentral